GACAGUGUGGGGUAGUGGAUUGAGCAUUGGACUACAGCUCUGGAGUCCAGGGUUCGAAUCCCAGAUCAGCCA
Molecule: non-coding RNA, 72 nt
Organism: Phrynosoma platyrhinos (Desert horned lizard)
Lineage: Eukaryota; Metazoa; Chordata; Lepidosauria; Squamata; Phrynosomatidae
Source: the annotation of a GenBank genome assembly